RNAcentral lists this long non-coding RNA (3208 nucleotides) under Ananas comosus (pineapple). RNAcentral describes it as "long non-coding RNA (ACOM_LNC034080)". The record is from RNAcentral. Lineage: Eukaryota; Viridiplantae; Streptophyta; Magnoliopsida; Poales; Bromeliaceae.
UAAGGUACCGGACUUCUAAAAUCAUGAGGUUACGGUGUCCAUUUGGUUGGAGAGCCAUUUGAAUGGUUCCGGUAAGGUUGCGGUGUAAUGUAAUAUAUCGAAUUUAAAUAUAAAAAAAAAUAGAAAUAAAUAAAAAUAGUAUGAGAUACUAUUUUUAUUGGAUUUAGAGAAGUGAAAUAUAAGUUGAAUAACCUGUGCUGAAAUCGGAGCGAAAACAGAAGAUUUAGAAUUUUCUGUGAGAAACGGGACAGAUAAAUUAGCAGAAAAUGCACAGUCUCAGAAAAUUAUGAAAAUUGGCAGAGAUGUCAGAAAUAUUUUUAUGAGGCUAGAUUUAAGGUUUCAUAUUUUUCUGACACCCGUAGAGCGAGAAAUAAAAAUCUGAUAGCUAUCUAAUAAAGAUUGCAGUUCGGUACAGUUUUCAGUGACCAAACGAGGUCGAAACUGAAAUAUUAAAAUUUCUUUGGACGUACGAAGUGAAACCGAACCUGCCUGCCAAAUUUGAGCUCAAACGGACAUCCGGAAGAGCUCCAACGAAAUUUAUCAGAUUUCAAGCUGCCCGGGAGUGAAUAGUGUCGGGUGCAUUAUAAAGAAGCUGAUGCUUCUUCUUCUUUCUCCUUCAGCCCGAGCACGCCCACACCCACGCACGCAUGGAGUAGAGAGAGAAACCCUCCUUCCUCUCUCUAGAUAUCUCUCUCAUCUCUCUAAAUCUCUCUCUAAAAAUUGGAGGGUUGGUGGAGAAGAUGCUUACGAACGCGUUGGGAGCGACGGAUCGGGCUUUCGUGCGGCCGUUGGAGCGGUGUGUGGUCGUCGCGGCGUUCACAUUGAGGUAAGCUUUUAGGAUUUGGCUUAAUCCUUAAUUCUAAGUGUUCUAAUAGCCUCUAAUGAGCAUUCUAAACAUGUUUGCUCCAUUUAAUUUGGAUUAUUUGGAGAUUAAUUCAUGUUAGGCUUAGAAAAUGGGGUUUUGUAAAAUAUGAGGGUUUGAUCUCAUUUGACCCUCCGUAAACCAAAUUGCUAGGUAAACGAACGCGUUGGCGAAGACGGUUCGGCAAUCCGACGAGCCGUUAAAAAGUUAUUAAAGAAAUGGAUGUUUAGGCUUCGGGUCCGCCGGGAGGGCCGAGGCGAUAUCGUAAAUUCAUGAAAACGGAUUUGAAGCAUCGUACCAAGAAACCGAAGACCUUUAAUUUUCAGGAUUUCGGAUCGGAGGUCGUUUGGUGGUCGCGCGCGGAUUGGGUCAAGCCGAGCGGCGUGCGCCGCGGGAGGCCGAUUGCAAGUGACGACAAGCAAUCGGAACGCGAUAAAAGGUGGGGGAGUGCCAUCCCGAAGUCAUCGGGCUUCUUCCUAUGUCUUAGUGCUUUAUCCGUUCACAUGUAGCAUAUUGUAUGUUGCUAUGCAUUAUAGGAUGACAAUACAUGCAUUCCUAAUCCUUAUAUGAUGUUUAUGAUCAAUAUAGGUAUUAUGAUAUGGAAUAUAUGAUGUAAUGGACAUAAGGAUUAUGAGAUGACAUUGGUAAACCUAUGAUGCUAAAUGAAAGAAGAACCUAGUGUUGUUGUAAUUAAAGACAUAGUUUACAAGUGGCAUUGAACUCAUUGUGCUAAAAACACAUAUGACUUGAGCUAGUAAUGGAUUGGUUGUUGCACUAGAAACUUCUAGUAACGUUGAUCAAGUUGCAUAUUGGGAUAUUGCAUUAUAGGGUACUAGUUGGCAAUUGUUACAUGUCAUGGCAUGCUAGUGAGAGUGUAGUGUUACUUGAUUAAUACUUGUACCUAGUAUGCAUGAGAUUGGGACUUAAUGUGGUGAAACCCUAUAAGGGCAUGAUUAAUGUAGGGUUAAACUUAGUUGAGUACAUUAAUCGAUCAAGUUGCAUAUUGUAUUUAUUGCAUAUAGGUGCUAGAUGAUUAUGGUUAUUGCUUGUAUUUGCAUGCUAGUAGCUAUACAUCUUGAUGAUUGAUCCAUGAACUAGUAUGCAUGAGAACCUAGACCCUAUAUGUGAGAUGAUUAAUGCUUAUGUUGCUAAAGAACUAGUAUGAUGUAACUAGUGUUGAAAUGAGUCUAAAUGACGAGUGGCAUCUAGUUUAGAAAACUAUGAUGAGUGGCAUAUGAUUGUUGAUAACCUUGACAUGAGAACCUUAGUGUAGUUGAAACACUAUGAGAUUGGGUACAAGAACACCUUGAUUCCAUGAUGAGAUUACCCUUAGAGGGUAGGUUGCUGUUGCUCGUGAGAUGAUCACGCUCACAUUGCCUGUCUGCGCUUGGUGGGGUCGCUCCCCCCAGGUUGUGCGCUCCGGAGUUUGGUCACUAGAGAGGCAGCCCUGCUUGCUGCUCGGAUAGCCGCUUGUUAUCCGCAGGCGUACUCGGGGAUCGACCAGCUAGGCAUCCCUAGGAGAUUGAUAUGUGAGCCUUGCUUGUGAACCUUGUGUUCACCACGAGAUUUGGUUACCUAUUGAGUCAUACUCAUUAUUGUUGUUCAUGAUAGCUUGCUUCCAUAGUUGUUGUUGUUGUUCAUAGUAGCUUACUAGUGUUCAUAGUAGCUUACUUAUUGCUCAUGCCUUCAUGAUAUACUAUUCCUUCACCUAUGAGAUUUGAGUACCUAUUGAGUCAUACUCAUUAUUGUUGUUCAUGAUAGCUUGCUUCCAUAGUUGUUGUUGUUGUUCACCUAUGAGAUUUGAGUGGAGUAGCCCUGUACCUAGUAGGUCGAGAUGUGAGUCGGGCAAAGUGCGGGGUAGCCUUUGCCUAGGACCUUGAGAUGUGAGUCGGGCGAGGGGCGGGGUAGCUCUUUGCCUAGGGACUCACGAGAUUGGGUCAGACCCUUGAGAUAUGAGUCGAGUGAGACAAGAGUGAGUUAGCUCUUCACCUACUAGAUUUGAGAUCUUAGGCAAGUUAGCCUAGCGGAUUGGGUAAUAACAUGAAUAGCAUAAGAGUAUUGCAUUCAUACCUUGAUUAGACAUAGUGCAUUGCAUAACUAUGUUGUUGUUGUAUUUAUUUCACUGUUGAGGCAUAUUAGCAUGAUAGUAGAUUGUUGCUAGAUGAUGUUCCAUGCAUACUUUGCAUUUGAUGGCAUAAUAGAUAUAGUAGUAGUAUUUCCAUAUAUCUUUCUAUCUAUCUAUCUGUGCCAGCUUGGACCUAGUGGGAAGAUCGGCGGAGUCGGCGGCCGAACCCACUGGGAACUAUAUUUAUAUAGUUCUCACCCCGUGUGGUUUUGGGGUACAGG